This 1507-nucleotide ribosomal RNA is filed under the name Loigolactobacillus coryniformis. Its description in RNAcentral is "bacterial SSU rRNA". It matches the Rfam family "Bacterial small subunit ribosomal RNA". Lineage: Bacteria; Bacillati; Bacillota; Bacilli; Lactobacillales; Lactobacillaceae. The record is from RNAcentral.
UGGCUCAGGACGAACGCUGGCGGCGUGCCUAAUACAUGCAAGUCGAACGCACUGACGUCGACCGAAGCUGCUUGCAGUGGACGUUGAUUGACGUGAGUGGCGGACGGGUGAGUAACACGUGGGUAACCUACCCUUAAGUGGGGGAUAACAUUUGGAAACAGAUGCUAAUACCGCAUAACCAUUCAGACCRCAUGGUCUGAAUGUAAAAGACGGCCUUUGGCUGUCACUUUUGGACGGACCCGCGGCGUAUUAGUUAGUUGGUAAGGUAACGGCUUACCAAGACAAUGAUACGUAGCCGACCUGAGAGGGUAAUCGGCCACAUUGGGACUGAGACACGGCCCAAACUCCUACGGGAGGCAGCAGUAGGGAAUCUUCCACAAUGGACGAAAGUCUGAUGGAGCAACGCCGCGUGAGUGAAGAAGGUUUUAGGAUCGUAAAACUCUGUUGUUGGAGAAGAACAGGGACUAGAGUAACUGUUAGUCCUUUGACGGUAUCCAACCAGAAAGCCACGGCUAACUACGUGCCAGCAGCCGCGGUAAUACGUAGGUGGCAAGCGUUGUCCGGAUUUAUUGGGCGUAAAGCGAGCGCAGGCGGUUUUUUAAGUCUGAUGUGAAAGCCUUCGGCUUAACCGAAGAAGUGCAUUAGAAACUGGRAAACUUGAGUGCAGAAGAGGACAGUGGAACUCCAUGUGUAGCGGUGAAAUGCGUAGAUAUAUGGAAGAACACCAGUGGCGAAGGCGGCUGUCUGGUCUGUAACUGACGCUGAGGCUCGAAAGUAUGGGGAGCGAACAGGAUUAGAUACCCUGGUAGUCCAUACCGUAAACGAUGAAUGCUAAGUGUUGGAGGGUUUCCGCCCUUCAGUGCUGCAGCUAACGCAUUAAGCAUUCCGCCUGGGGAGUACGACCGCAAGGUUGAAACUCAAAGGAAUUGACGGGGGCCCGCACAAGCGGUGGAGCAUGUGGUUUAAUUCGAAGCAACGCGAAGAACCUUACCAGGUCUUGACAUCCUUUGACCACUGUAGAGAUACAGCUUUCCCUUCGGGGACAAAGUGACAGGUGGUGCAUGGUUGUCGUCAGCUCGUGUCGUGAGAUGUUGGGUUAAGUCCCGCAACGAGCGCAACCCUUAUGACUAGUUGCCAGCAUUUAGUUGGGCACUCUAGUAAGACUGCCGGUGACAAACCGGAGGAAGGUGGGGAUGACGUCAAAUCAGCAUGCCCCUUAUGACCUGGGCUACACACGUGCUACAAUGGUCGGUACAACGAGUUGCGAACCCGCGAGGGUAAGCUAAUCUCUUAAAGCCGAUCUCAGUUCGGAUUGUAGGCUGCAACUCGCCUACAUGAAGCCGGAAUCGCUAGUAAUCGCGGAUCAGCACGCCGCGGUGAAUACGUUCCCGGGCCUUGUACACACCGCCCGUCACACCAUGAGAGUUUGUAACACCCGAAGUCGGUGGGGUAACCCUUUUAGGGAACUAGCCGCCUAAGGUGGGACAGAUGAUUGGGGUGAAGUCGU